RNAcentral lists this small nuclear RNA (107 nucleotides) under Equus asinus (donkey). Lineage: Eukaryota; Metazoa; Chordata; Mammalia; Perissodactyla; Equidae. The record is from RNAcentral.
GUGCUCGUUUUGGCAGCACAUACCCUAAAAUUGGAACGAUACAGAGAAGAUUCACAUGGCCUCUGGGCAAGGAUGACACACAAAUAAAUGACCAUUCUCUCUUUUUU